This 253-nucleotide ribosomal RNA is filed under the name uncultured bacterium. Its description in RNAcentral is "partial 16S ribosomal RNA". It matches the Rfam family "Bacterial small subunit ribosomal RNA", at positions 524 to 776 of the family's 1533-position model. The record is from RNAcentral.
UACGUAGGCAGCAAGCGUUGUUCGGAGUUACUGGGCGUAAAGGGUGUGUAGGCGGUUCUUUAAGUUUGGUGUGAAAUCUCCCGGCUCAACCGGGAGGGUGCGCCGAAUACUGAGGGACUAGAGUGCGGGAGAGGAAAGUGGAAUUCCUGGUGUAGCGGUGGAAUGCGUAGAUAUCAGGAGGAACACCGGUGGUGUAGACGGCUUUCUGGACCGUAACUGACGCUGAGACACGAAAGCGUGGGUAGCAAACAGG